This 120-nucleotide ribosomal RNA is filed under the name Pteropus alecto (black flying fox). The record is from RNAcentral. Lineage: Eukaryota; Metazoa; Chordata; Mammalia; Chiroptera; Pteropodidae.
AUCUAUGUCCAUGACACCCUGAAUGUGCCUGAUCGCAUCUGAUCUCGGAAGCUAAGCAGGGUUGAGCCUGGUUAGUACUUAGAUGGGAGACCACCUUAGGAAUACCAGGUGCCAUAGGCG